Molecule: non-coding RNA, 254 nt
Organism: Schizosaccharomyces pombe (fission yeast)
Lineage: Eukaryota; Fungi; Ascomycota; Schizosaccharomycetes; Schizosaccharomycetales; Schizosaccharomycetaceae
Source: the annotation of a GenBank genome assembly
AAAGCGUUUAUUACUUAUUAUGCCGCCAAACAUGGUCAGUGAAGGAAGGCAUUAGCAAAGAGAAAUGAGUUUGUUUAAAUGAAACGGUUUAGGUUAUUCUUUAUUAAUUAACUAGACCAGUAGACUUUACGUAUUUAUUUCGUAUGUUGUAUUCAUAUGUAUAUUUAUACAUACAUAAUUUAGCCUUCUUCUCAAGUUCUUCCAAGUUGAAAAAUGACCACUACGUUUUGCAAUGAUAGAAAUUUAAGACUCAG